RNAcentral lists this ribosomal RNA (1565 nucleotides) under Escherichia coli. RNAcentral's name for it is "partial 23S ribosomal RNA". It matches the Rfam family "Bacterial large subunit ribosomal RNA", at positions 1291 to 2844 of the family's 2925-position model. Lineage: Bacteria; Pseudomonadati; Pseudomonadota; Gammaproteobacteria; Enterobacterales; Enterobacteriaceae. The record is from RNAcentral.
CGAAUGCUGACAUAAGUAACGAUAAAGCGGGUGAAAAGCCCGCUCGCCGGAAGACCAAGGGUUCCUGUCCAACGUUAAUCGGGGCAGGGUGAGUCGACCCCUAAGGCGAGGCCGAAAGGCGUAGUCGAUGGGAAACAGGUUAAUAUUCCUGUACUUGGUGUUACUGCGAAGGGGGGACGGAGAAGGCUAUGUUGGCCGGGCGACGGUUGUCCCGGUUUAAGCGUGUAGGCUGGUUUUCCAGGCAAAUCCGGAAAAUCAAGGCUGAGGCGUGAUGACGAGGCACUACGGUGCUGAAGCAACAAAUGCCCUGCUUCCAGGAAAAGCCUCUAAGCAUCAGGUAACAUUAAAUCGUACCCCAAACCGACACAGGUGGUCAGGUAGAGAAUACCAAGGCGCUUGAGAGAACUCGGGUGAAGGAACUAGGCAAAAUGGUGCCGUAACUUCGGGAGAAGGCACGCUGAUAUGUAGGUGAAGUCCCUCGCGGAUGGAGCUGAAAUCAGUCGAAGAUACCAGCUGGCUGCAACUGUUUAUUAAAAACACAGCACUGUGCAAACACGAAAGUGGACGUAUACGGUGUGACGCCUGCCCGGUGCCGGAAGGUUAAUUGAUGGGGUUAGCGGUAACGCGAAGCUCUUGAUCGAAGCCCCGGUAAACGGCGGCCGUAACUAUAACGGUCCUAAGGUAGCGAAAUUCCUUGUCGGGUAAGUUCCGACCUGCACGAAUGGCGUAAUGAUGGCCAGGCUGUCUCCACCCGAGACUCAGUGAAAUUGAACUCGCUGUGAAGAUGCAGUGUACCCGCGGCAAGACGGAAAGACCCCGUGAACCUUUACUAUAGCUUGACACUGAACAUUGAGCCUUGAUGUGUAGGAUAGGUGGGAGGCUUUGAAGUGUGGACGCCAGUCUGCAUGGAGCCGACCUUGAAAUACCACCCUUUAAUGUUUGAUGUUCUAACGUUGACCCGUAAUCCGGGUUGCGGACAGUGUCUGGUGGGUAGUUUGACUGGGGCGGUCUCCUCCUAAAGAGUAACGGAGGAGCACGAAGGUUGGCUAAUCCUGGUCGGACAUCAGGAGGUUAGUGCAAUGGCAUAAGCCAGCUUGACUGCGAGCGUGACGGCGCGAGCAGGUGCGAAAGCAGGUCAUAGUGAUCCGGUGGUUCUGAAUGGAAGGGCCAUCGCUCAACGGAUAAAAGGUACUCCGGGGAUAACAGGCUGAUACCGCCCAAGAGUUCAUAUCGACGGCGGUGUUUGGCACCUCGAUGUCGGCUCAUCACAUCCUGGGGCUGAAGUAGGUCCCAAGGGUAUGGCUGUUCGCCAUUUAAAGUGGUACGCGAGCUGGGUUUAGAACGUCGUGAGACAGUUCGGUCCCUAUCUGCCGUGGGCGCUGGAGAACUGAGGGGGGCUGCUCCUAGUACGAGAGGACCGGAGUGGACGCAUCACUGGUGUUCGGGUUGUCAUGCCAAUGGCACUGCCCGGUAGCUAAAUGCGGAAGAGAUAAGUGCUGAAAGCAUCUAAGCACGAAACUUGCCCCGAGAUGAGUUCUCCCUGACCCUUUAAGGGUCCUGAAGGA